This 760-nucleotide ribosomal RNA is filed under the name uncultured bacterium. Its description in RNAcentral is "bacterial SSU rRNA". It matches the Rfam family "Bacterial small subunit ribosomal RNA", at positions 28 to 776 of the family's 1533-position model. The record is from RNAcentral.
GAUGAACGCUAGCUACAUGCUUAACACAUGCAAGUCGAGGGGCAGCAUUUCAGUUUGCUUGCAAACUGGAGAUGGCGACCGGCGCACGGGUGAGUAACACGUAUCCAACCUGCCGAUAACUCGGGGAUAGCCUUUCGAAAGAAAGAUUAAUACCCGAUAGUAUAAUUAGACCGCAUGGUCUUGUUAUUAAAGAAUUUCGGUUAUCGAUGGGGAUGCGUUCCAUUAGGCAGUUGGUGAGGUAACGGCUCACCAAACCUUCGAUGGAUAGGGGUUCUGAGAGGAAGGUCCCCCACAUUGGAACUGAGACACGGUCCAAACUCCUACGGGAGGCAGCAGUGAGGAAUAUUGGUCAAUGGGCGCAGGCCUGAACCAGCCAAGUAGCGUGAAGGAUGACUGCCCUAUGGGUUGUAAACUUCUUUUAUAUGGGAAUAAAGUUUUCCACGUGUGGAAUUUUGUAUGUACCAUAUGAAUAAGGAUCGGCUAACUCCGUGCCAGCAGCCGCGGUAAUACGGAGGAUCCGAGCGUUAUCCGGAUUUAUUGGGUUUAAAGGGAGCGUAGGUGGACAGUUAAGUCAGUUGUGAAAGUUUGCGGCUCAACCGUAAAAUUGCAGUUGAUACUGGCUGUCUUGAGUACAGUAGAGGUGGGCGGAAUUCGUGGUGUAGCGGUGAAAUGCUUAGAUAUCACGAAGAACUCCGAUUGCGAAGGCAGCUCACUGGACUGCAACUGACACUGAUGCUCGAAAGUGUGGGUAUCAAACAGG